UCCCUGUUGGCUUAGCUGGCUAUAGCGUCCGACUGUUACGCUUGCGUAAGCAGCUAAUCGGAAGGUCGACAGUUCGAUCCUGUCACGGGGAG
Transfer RNA from Exidia glandulosa HHB12029, 92 nucleotides. It matches the Rfam family "tRNA". From Rfam's summary of the family: Transfer RNA (tRNA) molecules are approximately 80 nucleotides in length. Their secondary structure includes four short double-helical elements and three loops (D, anti-codon, and T loops). NCBI's taxonomy places the organism in Eukaryota, Fungi, Basidiomycota, Agaricomycetes, Auriculariales, Exidiaceae. The record is from Rfam.